Gasterosteus aculeatus aculeatus (three-spined stickleback) is the source of this 563-nucleotide long non-coding RNA. Lineage: Eukaryota; Metazoa; Chordata; Actinopteri; Perciformes; Gasterosteidae. The record is from Ensembl.
AACACAAUCUCAAUCAACCACUUGAGAGGGAAGCGGGAGGAAGGCUUUGAGUGUUAAAGUGUGCCCUCCUGCAGAAACAGUAAUAUAAAGCUGGGACCAGUGAGCUUGAGAAAGGUCAAAGGUGAACGAGAGAAAAGCGCAGAUGACUCUCAGAUGGAUUAGCGCGCAGGCCCGGACGUCAUCGGGGGGGCCGGACGUGGGAAGAUUGCAGAUGCAACCGUCAAGUGGGUCGUACAUCUUCAUCUAUCAUCCACCCUCCUGUCCGUCACCACCCUGGUUCAGGGGCAGCCCAGCAGCUAAGACGGGCUAAACUCCUCUCGGCACAUCGACGACUCGGCGCCUGCGCAUCAAUCAACCUGUCUGUGUGCGCGUCGCUGCCCCGCAAACGUGACCGUCUGCUCCGCCGUGAAGUGGGAUCUGUCCGAUGAAGAAUCGGAUGUCUUGGUUGAUACGUUAACCUUAAAGACAAGUGAUGAGGCAGAAUCUGUUUUCCAAGCUGGAUGAAGUUACAAUCCUGCAAACAUAUGUGUCCUUAUUCAUGGACAUUUUGGGCUCUUUGCUGC